This 253-nucleotide ribosomal RNA is filed under the name uncultured bacterium. RNAcentral describes it as "partial 16S ribosomal RNA". It matches the Rfam family "Bacterial small subunit ribosomal RNA", at positions 524 to 776 of the family's 1533-position model. The record is from RNAcentral.
UACGGAGGGUGCAAGCGUUACUCGGAAUUACUGGGCGUAAAGCGUGCGCAGGCGGUUUUGUAAGUCUGACGUGAAAGCCCCGGGCUCAACCUGGGAAUUGCGUUGGAGACUGCAAGGCUUGAAUCUGGCAGAGGGGGGUAGAAUUCCACGUGUAGCAGUGAAAUGCGUAGAGAUGUGGAGGAACACCGAUGGCGAAGGCAGCCCCCUGGGUCAAGAUUGACGCUCAUGCACGAAAGCGUGGGGAGCAAACAGG